UCGAAGGCGCGCGCGCUGAUGCGAUGCACGAGCGUGUGAGGCCUUCGUGACCGGAAAUGCGCGAAUAAUAAACAAACAAACACCGAGAAAUAAUAAUAAUUGCUCGUGCACGCUUUAUGGGAGAGAGAAAGGGUUUUUUUGGGUGUUUUGUUUUUGCCCUGUCGUUCAUGCACUGGCACGGAAUUCCCAGGAAUGAGGUGAUGAGGAUAAAAAAAAAAAAAGACGCACUUAAAUAAUAAUAAUAAUAACAAUAAUAAUAACAAUAAUGAUAAUAAUACACUACGGGGAGACGGGCACGCGCAAAAUCGGGGCGCGCGCGCUCGUGACGGAUAUUAUUUAUUUAUAUAAACAGCUAAAUCAUAU
Long non-coding RNA from Silurus meridionalis, 363 nucleotides. RefSeq lists it as uncharacterized. Lineage: Eukaryota; Metazoa; Chordata; Actinopteri; Siluriformes; Siluridae. The record is from RefSeq and is a predicted model, not a curated record. The transcript has 2 exons.